GAUGAACGCUAGCGGGAGGCUUAACACAUGCAAGUCGAGGGGCAGCAUAGGGUAGCAAUACUCUGAUGGCGACCGGCAAACGGGUGAGUAACGCGUAUGCAACCUACCCUGUACAGGGGGAUAACCCGGAGAAAUUCGGACUAAUAUCCCGUAAUAAUAUCCGGAGGCAUCUUUGGAUAUUUAAAGUUUCGACGGUACGGGAUGGGCAUGCGUAACAUUAGCUGGUUGGUAAGGUAACGGCUUACCAAGGCUAUGAUGUUUAGGGGUCCUGAGAGGGUGGUCCCCCGCACUGGUACUGAGACACGGACCAGACUCCUACGGGAGGCAGCAGUGAGGAAUAUUGGUCAAUGGGCGCAAGCCUGAACCAGCCAUCCCGCGUGCAGGAAGACGGCCCUAUGGGUUGUAAACUGCUUUUCCAGGGAGAGAAACUUACGCACGUGUUGCGUGACUGACGGUACCUGGGAAUAAGCAUCGGCUAACUCCGUGC
RNAcentral lists this ribosomal RNA (487 nucleotides) under uncultured bacterium. RNAcentral's name for it is "bacterial SSU rRNA". It matches the Rfam family "Bacterial small subunit ribosomal RNA", at positions 28 to 508 of the family's 1533-position model. The record is from RNAcentral.